RNAcentral lists this transfer RNA (70 nucleotides) under Pneumocystis jirovecii. It matches the Rfam family "tRNA". Rfam says of the family: Transfer RNA (tRNA) molecules are approximately 80 nucleotides in length. The record is from Rfam by way of RNAcentral. Lineage: Eukaryota; Fungi; Ascomycota; Pneumocystomycetes; Pneumocystales; Pneumocystaceae.
GGGUUUGUAGCUUAAAGUAAAGUAUCAAUUUGUCGCAUUGAAGGAUGCCACCUCGAAAGGGUCAAACUCG